UGUCAGUCUCAGCCUUGCCUAUAUCAUUUUCUGCCAUCCAUCCCAAACAUGCAGGCUGACCACAGUGCUUAUAGUGCCACUACAUCUAGGGCCACCAUGCCCACCCCUCCCCUACAGGGCCCCAAAAUGCCCACUGCGUUGGACACAGCGCAGGAGCAUAUGGAUUCAGAGGAAUUGCAUUCCCUCUUAGACGCAGCUAUGGCGAAGUCUGUAACGCAGGCCAUAGUUACUGCCAUGGGUGCCAUGUCAGAGAAUUUAUCCCAUUCCAUAACUACGGCGAUGAGAGCCACACAAUUACCUGCUAACCCCAUGGCUAACCCCCCAGAGAAUAAGCCGGU
This is a non-coding RNA of Pelobates cultripes (western spadefoot toad), 338 nucleotides long. The record is from the annotation of a GenBank genome assembly. Lineage: Eukaryota; Metazoa; Chordata; Amphibia; Anura; Pelobatidae.